GAGUUUGAUCAUGGCUCAGAACGAACGCUGGCGGCGUGGAUAAGACAUGCAAGUCGAACGGGAGAAUUGCUAGCUUGCUAAUAAUUCUCUAGUGGCGCACGGGUGAGUAACACGUGAGUAACCAGCCCCGAGAGCGGGAUAGCCCUGGGAAACUGGGAUUAAUACCGCAUAGUAUCGAAAGAUUAAAGCAGCAAUGCGCUUGGGGAUGGGCUCGCGGCCUAUUAGUUAGUUGGUGAGGUAACGGCUCACCAAGGCGAUGACGGGGUAGCCGGGUCUGAGAGGAUGUCCGGCCACACUGGAACUGAGACACGGUCCAGACACCUACGGGUGGCAGCAGUCGAGAAUCAUUCACAAUGGGGGAAACCCUGAUGGUGCGACGCCGCGUGGGGAAUGAAGGUCUUCGGAUUGUAAACCCCUGUCAUGUGGGAGCAAAUUAAAAAGAUAGUACCACAAGAGGAAGAGACGGCUAACUCUGUGCCAGCCGCCG
RNAcentral lists this ribosomal RNA (487 nucleotides) under uncultured microorganism. Its description in RNAcentral is "bacterial SSU rRNA". It matches the Rfam family "Bacterial small subunit ribosomal RNA", at positions 9 to 517 of the family's 1533-position model. The record is from RNAcentral.